RNAcentral lists this ribosomal RNA (478 nucleotides) under uncultured bacterium. Its description in RNAcentral is "partial 16S ribosomal RNA". It matches the Rfam family "Bacterial small subunit ribosomal RNA", at positions 28 to 523 of the family's 1533-position model. The record is from RNAcentral.
GACGAACGCUGGCGGCGUGCUUAACACAUGCAAGUCGAACGGUAAGGCCCUUCGGGGUACACGAGUGGCGAACGGGUGAGUAACACGUGGGUGAUCUGCCCUGCACUUCGGGAUAAACCUGGGAAACUGGGUCUAAUACCGGAUAGGACCACUGCCUGCAUGGGUGGUGGUGGAAAGCUUUUGCGGUGUGGGAUGGGCCCGCGGCCUAUCAGCUUGUUGGUGGGGUGAUGGCCUACCAAGGCGACGACGGGUAGCCGGCCUGUGAGGGUGACCGGCCACACUGGGACUGAGAUACGGCCCAGACUCCUACGGGAGGCAGCAGUGGGGAAUAUUGCACAAUGGGCGCAAGCCUGAUUCAGCGACGCCGCGUGAGGGAUGACGGCCUUCGGGUUGUAAACCUCUCUCAGCACCGACGAAGCGCAAGUGACGGUAGGUGCAGAAGAAGGACCGGCCAACUACGUGCCAGCCGCCGCCGUAA